Long non-coding RNA from Tyto alba (common barn owl), 600 nucleotides. RefSeq lists it as uncharacterized. The record is from RefSeq and is a predicted model, not a curated record. The transcript is spliced from 3 exons. NCBI's taxonomy places the organism in Eukaryota, Metazoa, Chordata, Aves, Strigiformes, Tytonidae.
AUGAAAUACAAAAUCUUGAGGAAUAAAAGCUCUGUUUUUAACCAACCAUUAAUUAUUGCAGAAUUAUGUGCACCCAACUGAUCUGUAAAAGUUUUAAGUGAACUGCAUGGAAAACCCAAAAAUAGUACAUCGAAAAAAACCAACAACUGUCUGAGCAAGAAUCCAAACAUGUAUGGGUUAAUUUUCCUUCUAAAUCCAUAACAAUACUUUAAAAUGUCUUUUAAUGAUAAGCAGCAGCAUUCUGUUAACUUUUAAUAAGUCAUCACUUCCUUAUGCUUCACAGACUCUGCUAUGAAAGCUGAGGAUCCUUCAAAUCUGAAAAUAAGAGCAGAGUAACACUUUAUGGUUACCAGGCUCUUCAUUUUAUGAGGCUUAGUUGUUCAGAUUUUAAUGCAUUGCAUAUGAAUCUUUACUUCCUUCUAUGUAACAGACACUGCUUAGGUAAUAUUUAAGAUUCAUAAACGCGGUUUAACGCCCAGCCGAGCUGAGUUUGUGCGCGGAAACCUUGCAUUUUUCUUACACACCUACAGCUUCUCUUGAAAAGGAAAUAAAAGGUAUUAAUUUUCAAUAAGUGACUUAGGAUGGGGAUGAUCAUCCAAG